UUGUGCUGCUACGGCGUACGUGAACGCGGACUGUGAAACACAACGUUCAGUUCUCAGUGAAGUUCUCCACGUAAAAGUCAACGGAAACGUUUCCGUCGGCAGCAGCAGCAGCCACAGCAGCGCAGCCAUUGCUGAGGUCCUUCAUCAAAAUGCGCACACAUACAAAAGUAAAUGUAUAUGAAAAGAAAGUGUCAUAAAUCAAGCGAUUAUCCUGUAAACAAAGUGUAAAACGCGCUCCCCAGCAAACAACAAAAACAACAAAAACGAAAACAACAACAACAGCAAUAACAACAACAACCUUUAAUAAAAACAGAACCAGAAACCCAACAAGGAGUUUUUCUUAAUAAAACCCGAUUUGUAUUACGUUAAAAGCCAACGUGGAUAACAACAACAACAACAACAACAACAACAACAAAACAACGACAACCACAGCCACAACAACAACAACAAAAACUGCUUUUUAUUACUUGAGCAUUUAAUUUUGCUGAGUUGCUGUUGGACAUUUCAUCUGAAGCCCAACAAGGUUUUGGGUACAGCCACUUUGUUUGGCAUUUUUGAAGAGUCCCAGCGAAAAACAAGGCACUAGAUUGGAUUGGGCUUAAACACAUUAUAUAAUGCUUGCGACAGUGAGAUGACGCCAGUGCAAGUGAGAACGAUACGUUAGGCGGCGUUGACUAUGGGACCAGAGGCAUGGGCGUGUGUGCGGACCCUGGGUCUUAUCGAUGGUGUCAGGCAUUAAGCCGGUCGCGUUCGUCGUGCGCCACAAAUACAAACCAAUCAACGAGAAAGCAGACUCAACAACAAUCAGACACAAUCAGCGAAAGUACCAGAGCCGAGUCAACAAUUGUAGCAUCGAUAUUUCGUGGAGCUACGACGACGACGACGACAAUUCCAACCGCUUCGACUUUAAACCAAACGCCGUUGAAAACGGCUGCGUUCACAGUGAAAACAACGAGAAGAAGAAGACACCAGGACGAGGACGACGACGUCGAAGAGGACGUCGACGGCUGUGCUCGCACUCCGACCAAGACUUGCCGAUCAAUACAGAUUCUGAAAUUAGCACUCAUCUGUCUGUUUGCUCUAUUGGCACAAAAUGCACAAGCUCACAAUAUACCAGAAGAUGCUGUGCACAUCACGGCCAUACUGGGCGAAGGGGUUGUCUUCAACUGCCACGUCGAGUUCCCCAAUGAUCAUCCAGUGCCAUAUGUCCUGCAGUGGGACAAGAAGGUGAGCGAAACGGUACGAUAUCACACAUCAAAUUUCUUCUCUAAACUCUCUUUUUUACAUUGUUGUUUGAUAACGCAAAAAGCUAAAGAAAGUAAGAAACAGAUAGACAAAAGUCGAAGAAAGCGCGACAAAUGCUAACGACACAGUAAACCGAAAUACUUACAUAUAUCAAGCUAUAUUCAACGUUUUCGAACUCUUUACCCAACUAACUAUCCACUUACAUACAUAAUUACCAACUAAUUUAUGAGCAUCCCUAACUAACUAAUCAAUAUUCGGUUAGUUUUUGCAUUUAUGUUCCAUUCUGUUCUGUUCCACUUGAUUUCCAACAUUAUUGCUAUACUAACUAAUUAAGUGCCAAGUAGGCGAAAAGCCAGCUUUAGCUCCACAGUGCGUAUGCGUAAUAAUCGAAAUUUGUUGUAAACUAGGCGUUACUUGUGCUUAACGGCCAUUUGGAUAAUGAAUACCUGUAUUCGGCUUAUGCUAAUGCAAUAUAACACGAUUGUUCAUGCUGAUGUUGUAUUAUUGCCCGCGCAAUAUAAAUGUGUAAAUGAAUUAACUUGAGAUGGAAUUGGAAUUGGAUAUGUCCAUAAUAUUUGAUAUGUAUGUGUUUUAUGUGUUGCUCGAUUGGCAGUUGCAGUAUAAAUAAAUAUAUGCGU
This 1883-nucleotide unclassified non-coding RNA is filed under the name Drosophila mojavensis. RNAcentral describes it as "GI26311". The record is from RNAcentral. Lineage: Eukaryota; Metazoa; Arthropoda; Insecta; Diptera; Drosophilidae.